RNAcentral lists this ribosomal RNA (2904 nucleotides) under Salmonella enterica subsp. enterica serovar Oranienburg. Its description in RNAcentral is "bacterial LSU rRNA". It matches the Rfam family "Bacterial large subunit ribosomal RNA". The record is from RNAcentral. Lineage: Bacteria; Pseudomonadati; Pseudomonadota; Gammaproteobacteria; Enterobacterales; Enterobacteriaceae.
UUAAGCGACUAAGCGUACACGGUGGAUGCCCUGGCAGUCAGAGGCGAUGAAGGGCGUGCUAAUCUGCGAUAAGCGCCGGUAAGGUGAUAUGAACCGUUAUAACCGGCGAUACCCGAAUGGGGAAACCCAGUGUGUUUCGACACACUAUCAUUAACUGAAUCCAUAGGUUAAUGAGGCGAACCGGGGGAACUGAAACAUCUAAGUACCCCGAGGAAAAGAAAUCAACCGAGAUUCCCCCAGUAGCGGCGAGCGAACGGGGAGGAGCCCAGAGCCUGAAUCAGCAUGUGUGUUAGUGGAAGCGUCUGGAAAGGCGCGCGAUACAGGGUGACAGCCCCGUACACAAAAGCGCAUGUGCUGUGAGCUCGAUGAGUAGGGCGGGACACGUGGUAUCCUGUCUGAAUAUGGGGGGACCAUCCUCCAAGGCUAAAUACUCCUGACUGACCGAUAGUGAACCAGUACCGUGAGGGAAAGGCGAAAAGAACCCCGGCGAGGGGAGUGAAAAAGAACCUGAAACCGUGUACGUACAAGCAGUGGGAGCACCCUUUGGGGUGUGACUGCGUACCUUUUGUAUAAUGGGUCAGCGACUUAUAUUCUGUAGCAAGGUUAACCGCAUAGGGGAGCCGGAGGGAAACCGAGUCUUAAUUGGGCGUUAAGUUGCAGGGUAUAGACCCGAAACCCGGUGAUCUAGCCAUGGGCAGGUUGAAGGUUGGGUAACACUAACUGGAGGACCGAACCGACUAAUGUUGAAAAAUUAGCGGAUGACCUGUGGCUGGGGGUGAAAGGCCAAUCAAACCGGGAGAUAGCUGGUUCUCCCCGAAAGCUAUUUAGGUAGCGCCUCGUGAAUUCAUCUCCGGGGGUAGAGCACUGUUUCGGCUAGGGGGCCAUCCCGGCUUACCAACCCGAUGCAAACUGCGAAUACCGGAGAAUGUUAUCACGGGAGACACACGGCGGGUGCUAACGUCCGUCGUGAAGAGGGAAACAACCCAGACCGCCAGCUAAGGUCCCAAAGUCAUGGUUAAGUGGGAAACGAUGUGGGAAGGCCCAGACAGCCAGGAUGUUGGCUUAGAAGCAGCCAUCAUUUAAAGAAAGCGUAAUAGCUCACUGGUCGAGUCGGCCUGCGCGGAAGAUGUAACGGGGCUAAACCAUGCACCGAAGCUGCGGCAGCGACGCUUAUGCGUUGUUGGGUAGGGGAGCGUUCUGUAAGCCUGCGAAGGUGGCCUGUGAGGGUUGCUGGAGGUAUCAGAAGUGCGAAUGCUGACAUAAGUAACGAUAAAGCGGGUGAAAAGCCCGCUCGCCGGAAGACCAAGGGUUCCUGUCCAACGUUAAUCGGGGCAGGGUGAGUCGACCCCUAAGGCGAGGCCGAAAGGCGUAGUCGAUGGGAAACGGGUUAAUAUUCCCGUACUUGGUGUUACUGCGAAGGGGGGACGGAGAAGGCUAUGUUGGCCGGGCGACGGUUGUCCCGGUUUAAGCGUGUAGGUGUGUGUUCCAGGUAAAUCCGGUUCACUUUAACACUGAGGCGUGACGACGAGGCACUACGGUGCUGAAGCAACAAAUGCCCUGCUUCCAGGAAAAGCCUCUAAGCAUCAGGUAACACGAAAUCGUACCCCAAACCGACACAGGUGGUCAGGUAGAGAAUACCAAGGCGCUUGAGAGAACUCGGGUGAAGGAACUAGGCAAAAUGGUGCCGUAACUUCGGGAGAAGGCACGCUGACAUGUAGGUGAAGUGAUUUACUCAUGGAGCUGAAGUCAGUCGAAGAUACCAGCUGGCUGCAACUGUUUAUUAAAAACACAGCACUGUGCAAACACGAAAGUGGACGUAUACGGUGUGACGCCUGCCCGGUGCCGGAAGGUUAAUUGAUGGGGUCAGCGCAAGCGAAGCUCCUGAUCGAAGCCCCGGUAAACGGCGGCCGUAACUAUAACGGUCCUAAGGUAGCGAAAUUCCUUGUCGGGUAAGUUCCGACCUGCACGAAUGGCGUAAUGAUGGCCAGGCUGUCUCCACCCGAGACUCAGUGAAAUUGAACUCGCUGUGAAGAUGCAGUGUACCCGCGGCAAGACGGAAAGACCCCGUGAACCUUUACUAUAGCUUGACACUGAACAUUGAGCCUUGAUGUGUAGGAUAGGUGGGAGGCUUUGAAGUGUGGACGCCAGUCUGCAUGGAGCCGGCCUUGAAAUACCACCCUUUAAUGUUUGAUGUUCUAACGUGGACCCGUGAUCCGGGUUGCGGACAGUGUCUGGUGGGUAGUUUGACUGGGGCGGUCUCCUCCUAAAGAGUAACGGAGGAGCACGAAGGUUGGCUAAUCCUGGUCGGACAUCAGGAGGUUAGUGCAAUGGCAUAAGCCAGCUUGACUGCGAGCGUGACGGCGCGAGCAGGUGCGAAAGCAGGUCAUAGUGAUCCGGUGGUUCUGAAUGGAAGGGCCAUCGCUCAACGGAUAAAAGGUACUCCGGGGAUAACAGGCUGAUACCGCCCAAGAGUUCAUAUCGACGGCGGUGUUUGGCACCUCGAUGUCGGCUCAUCACAUCCUGGGGCUGAAGUAGGUCCCAAGGGUAUGGCUGUUCGCCAUUUAAAGUGGUACGCGAGCUGGGUUUAGAACGUCGUGAGACAGUUCGGUCCCUAUCUGCCGUGGGCGCUGGAGAACUGAGGGGGGCUGCUCCUAGUACGAGAGGACCGGAGUGGACGCAUCACUGGUGUUCGGGUUGUCAUGCCAAUGGCACUGCCCGGUAGCUAAAUGCGGAAGAGAUAAGUGCUGAAAGCAUCUAAGCACGAAACUUGCCCCGAGAUGAGUUCUCCCUGAGACUUAGAGUCUCCUGAAGGAACGUUGAAGACGACGACGUUGAUAGGCCGGGUGUGUAAGCGCAGCGAUGCGUUGAGCUAACCGGUACUAAUGAACCGUGAGGCUUAACCUU